RNAcentral lists this ribosomal RNA (406 nucleotides) under uncultured bacterium. RNAcentral describes it as "partial 16S ribosomal RNA". It matches the Rfam family "Bacterial small subunit ribosomal RNA", at positions 28 to 526 of the family's 1533-position model. The record is from RNAcentral.
GACGACCGCUGGCGGCGUGCCUAAUACAUGCAAGUCGAGGGACCGGCGCACGGGUGAGUAACACGUUUCCAACCUGCCCUUUACUCGGGGAUAGCCUUUCGAAAGAAAGAUUACUACCCAAUCUAAAGUAUGGGGAUGGGUUCCAUUAUGUUGUGGGUGAGUUAACGGCUCACCAAGCCUUAGAUGGAUAGGGGUUCUGAGAGGAAGGACCCCCACAUAGGAACUGAGACACGGUCCUAACUCCUACGGGAGGCAUCAGUGAGGAAUAUUGGGAAAUGGGCUCUAGCCUGAUCCAGCCAAGUAGCGUGAAGUAUUAAGGCUUAUGGGUCGUAAACUUCUUUGAUAUAAGAAUAUGUAUUAUAUGAAUAAGGAUCGGCUAACUCCGUGCCAGCCGCCGCGGUAAUAC